CGUAGGCACCAAGCGUUGUCCGGAUUUAUUGGGCGUAAAGAGCUCGUAGGCGGUUCAGUUAGUUGGGUGUGAAAACUCCGGGCUUAACCCGGAGCCGCCACCCAAUACUGCUGUGACUAGAGUUCGGUAGGGGAGCGGGGAAUUCCUAGUGUAGCGGUGAAAUGCGCAGAUAUUAGGAGGAACACCGGUGGCGAAGGCGCCGCUCUGGGCCGAAACUGACGCUGAGGAGCGAAAGCAUGGGUAGCAAACAGGAUUAGAUACCCUGGUAGUCCAUGCCGUAAACGUUGGGCACUAGGUGUGGGCUUCAUCCAACGAAGUCCGCGCCGUCGCUAACGCAUUAAGUGCCCCGCCUGGGGAGUACGGUCGCAAGACUA
Molecule: ribosomal RNA, 374 nt
Filed under: uncultured prokaryote
Description: bacterial SSU rRNA
Rfam family: Bacterial small subunit ribosomal RNA
Source: RNAcentral